RNAcentral lists this transfer RNA (69 nucleotides) under Nassarius siquijorensis. Its description in RNAcentral is "tRNA-Thr". It matches the Rfam family "tRNA". Rfam says of the family: Transfer RNA (tRNA) molecules are approximately 80 nucleotides in length. Their secondary structure includes four short double-helical elements and three loops (D, anti-codon, and T loops). The record is from RNAcentral. Lineage: Eukaryota; Metazoa; Mollusca; Gastropoda; Neogastropoda; Nassariidae.
GCAACAAUAGCUUAAAUUAAGAGUAUUGGUCUUGUAAGCCAAAGGUGAAUAAAUAAAUUUCUUGUUGCU